UGAGGAAUAUUGGUCAAUGGGCGAGAGCCUGAACCAGCCAAGUAGCGUGCAGGAUGACGGCCCUAUGGGUUGUAAACUGCUUUUAUAAGGGAAUAAAGUGAGCCUCGUGAGGCUUUUUGCAUGUACCUUAUGAAUAAGGACCGGCUAAUUCCGUGCCAGCAGCCGCGGUAAUACGGAAGGUCCGGGCGUAUCGGAUUAUGGUUAAGGAGCGUAGCCGGAGAUUAAGCGUGUUGUGAAAUGUAGAUGCUCAACGUCUGCACUGCAGCGCGAACUGGUUUCCCUUGAGUACGCACAAAGUGGGCGGAAUUCGUGGUGUAGCGGUGAAAUGCUUAGAUAUCACGAAGAACUCCGAUUGCGAAGGCAGCUCACUGGAGCGCAACUGACGCUGAAGCUCGAAAGUGCGGGUAUCGAACAGGAUUAGAUACC
This 426-nucleotide ribosomal RNA is filed under the name uncultured bacterium. RNAcentral describes it as "bacterial SSU rRNA". It matches the Rfam family "Bacterial small subunit ribosomal RNA", at positions 355 to 786 of the family's 1533-position model. The record is from RNAcentral.